CCUACGGGGGGCUGCAGUGGGGAAUAUUGCACAAUGGGCGCAAGCCUGAUGCAGCCAUGCCGCGUGUGUGAAGAAGGCCUUCGGGUUGUAAAGCACUUUCAGUUGUGAGGAAGGUUGUGUGGUUAAUACCCAUAUAAUUUGACGUUAGCAACAGAAGAAGCACCGGCUAACUCCGUGCCAGCAGCCGCGGUAAUACGGAGGGUCCGAGCGUUAAUCGGAAUUACUGGGCGUAAAGCGCGCGUAGGUGGUUCAGUCAGUCAGAUGUGAAAGCCCCGGGCUCAACCUGGGAACUGCAUUUGAAACUGGGAGACUAGAGUCUUGUAGAGGGGGGUAGAAUUUCAGGUGUAGCGGUGAAAUGCGUAGAGAUCUGGAGGAAUACCGGUGGCGAAGGCGGCCCCCUGGACAAAGACUGACGCUCAGGCACGAAAGCGUGGGGAGCAAACAGGAUUAGAUACCCUGGUAGUC
Molecule: ribosomal RNA, 465 nt
Filed under: uncultured Vibrio sp.
Lineage: Bacteria; Pseudomonadati; Pseudomonadota; Gammaproteobacteria; Vibrionales; Vibrionaceae
Description: bacterial SSU rRNA
Rfam family: Bacterial small subunit ribosomal RNA
Source: RNAcentral